UGCUAAAAAAAUAUGAUGUAACAUUAAUUAAUUAAUAAUGUCAUGUUUAGCUUCUGACACAGACUUUAAACAUGUGAGCAAGAAAAACACAACAAAAGAAAUCAGAGACACUGAGCAGAGUGUGGUAAACCAGUUCUUUCUGCUCUACUCUGUAACGAUUGUGGUGAUUCUAGUGCUUUCUGUUCCAGUACUGAUUAAAACCAUCUGCAGGAAAGAGUAUUCUCUGCGAGACAAGGACACCCUCACCACUGUGUUUUAUGAAGAAGCAGAAGAUUCCAGUCUGCAGGAAUAGAGCUUCCCACCGAUUCCACUGCGAGGGCCUUUAACAGUCUUCAGUUAUUCUAUUUUAUUAAAUCAAACUAAAAUCUUAAAAGUAAAUCUUUAAUUUAAAGAGAGAUCAUUUAAUGUUUAUCUUUCACAAACCAGUAAUAAUUUACAUGUACGUCACAUAUGAAUAAAGUGUUGUGUUAAAUUGAAAAAGUAUAUUUU
This 489-nucleotide long non-coding RNA is filed under the name Astyanax mexicanus (Mexican tetra). RNAcentral describes it as "lncRNA (ENSAMXG00005002782.1)". The record is from RNAcentral. Lineage: Eukaryota; Metazoa; Chordata; Actinopteri; Characiformes; Acestrorhamphidae.